GGCUAGGUCUUGGAGGCUGGUGUAAGGCGAUGCGGGUGAAGGCAGGAGGCUGAUGGAGAGACUGGGGGGAAGAAAAGCCGAAAUGGAUUCACGGUGCCUUGGAUGAAGGACGAGAGGGGAACUGCAAGCUCCUUCAACUGGUUCUGUCCGGUGAGAAGUGAUCAAGCUUGGGCUGACAAGAGGCUCAGGGAGCCCUCACGUUCUUUCGCUUUUUUACCUGCCAAUCAAACUGCUACAAGACAACACCCUGAUCUGGCAUGGACAUCGCGGGUCCAAGCCUGUAGCCCCAAAUCGGAUAAUCUCUGCAGCUGAUAACAAGCAAAAGAGAAGCCAGGCAACAGCCAUAUUAAAGAAGAAAACAGUCAACUCUGAGGAAGAAAUGUAAUGAAUUGAGUGCUGUCAGAGAUGUCUUCUGUUUGAACAAUCUGUGAUGGGCUGAAUGGCAGGGACUCCCUCAUCCAGUGCAGAUCCAACUUAGAAAUAAUGUUUCAUUCAAGAUAAGGCUCGUGGUUUAGGAGAUUGUGACCUGGCUUGCAUCAUUCUAAGACUUCUAUCGUCUGUUUUCAAAACCCAAGGAGGACCUCAUUUUCUGUGUGAUAGUUCCUCAUGCUUUGCCAGCCACUGGGUCUUUAAGGAAGCUUGCCAAGAGUUCCCGGCUGG
RNAcentral lists this small RNA (660 nucleotides) under Pan troglodytes (chimpanzee). Its description in RNAcentral is "sense overlapping". The stretch from base 1 to 265 matches the Rfam family "SOX2 overlapping transcript exon 3". Lineage: Eukaryota; Metazoa; Chordata; Mammalia; Primates; Hominidae. The record is from RNAcentral.